RNAcentral lists this long non-coding RNA (279 nucleotides) under Polistes fuscatus (common paper wasp). Its description in RNAcentral is "uncharacterized LOC122515293". Lineage: Eukaryota; Metazoa; Arthropoda; Insecta; Hymenoptera; Vespidae. The record is from RNAcentral.
CAUAAUAAAAUUGCAUUGUAUUUUACAGAAGUUCAAAGGAAAAUGAAGCGAUUGAUAUUUGGAUUUGCGACGAAGUUAGUUUCGUCUAAACAAAUAUAAAAUAUUUUAUAAUUACCAGCAUCGACACCAGUUUCGGCUAUACAAGAAUCCUUGUAUUCCUUAAGUUUGGCCUUUUGUUCAUCGUAAACAGCUCGAUCGUAAAUUGUAUAAUCAUCAAAUGACUGCUGCUGUCUUCUUAUAGUCUUUUAAUGGGGGGAUGUAUUUGAUUGAAGAAACAAA